Non-coding RNA from Pseudomonas sp. 1 R 17, 74 nucleotides. The record is from Rfam. NCBI's taxonomy places the organism in Bacteria, Pseudomonadati, Pseudomonadota, Gammaproteobacteria, Pseudomonadales, Pseudomonadaceae.
CGCGGGGUGGAGCAGUCUGGUAGCUCGUCGGGCUCAUAACCCGAAGGUCGUCGGUUCAAAUCCGGCCCCCGCAA